Molecule: long non-coding RNA, 3356 nt
Organism: Bombyx mori (domestic silkworm)
Lineage: Eukaryota; Metazoa; Arthropoda; Insecta; Lepidoptera; Bombycidae
Exons: 2
Source: RefSeq, a predicted model, not a curated record
GGGUAGAAAUAAAAAAAAUUAAAAGGAGCCAUUAAAUAAUAAGGGUCAUUCAGAUUUAAAAAAAUGCAGUAUAAGCAUUGCUUUGCUACGUAUACACAUGAUUUAGAUAUUGCCAAUUUAGUCCAAAUGCAAAUUAAGCUUACUAGUGAUCAGCCCGUGUAUCGCCACCUUUACUUAACUUUUAGAUGCCGGCAUUAUAAAAUAAUCUGAAGCUAGUCAUGCUUCACCAGUGGUCUUAUUAAGAAACAGAACGGCGACAGUAGGCUAUGCGUUGAUUAUCGUGCGUUAAACGCUAUGGUAAAAUAUAAAAGUAUCCACCGAACAGUACUUCACGAGUUUAGAUUUAGCCCAGGGCUACCAUAAAUUAAGCAUUGUGCCAGACACACAACUGCUUUCAUUACGCCGCAAGGUCAUUAUUUCGAGUACACUAGAACUCCUUUUGGUUUAGCAUAUGUGCCAUCUGUAUUCAUGGGUUUCUUCUUUUUGUCCACCUUAUUCCACUAGGUGGGGUAGUUAAAUGCGUUUAAUAAAUAAAAUAAUUGAGUCUGUGGGUAGAAAAGAAAUGGGUAAAAAUAAAUGUAAGUCAAAUCGAGAUACUAGCAAUUUGAAACGAUUUACCUCUACCCUCAGUUGGUAUAAAAUCAGGUUCAAUAAUUAUUGAGAAAGUACUUGGGAAAUUUUAUGGUGGAGACUUAAAAUUAAAUGAGUAAAUGCUCAUUCUUGGAGAAAAAAGUCACUUAUUUAGGUCAUGAAAUAUCUUCAGACGGUAUACAGCCAGGUGCAACAAAAAUUGACGGCCGUUUCGCAGUUUCCUGUGCCAAAUAAUGCUCAUAGUGUGCGACAGUUUAUUGGUUAUGUUACUUUAGAAAGUUUAUUCCCAGUUUUGCCGUGAUUGCGCUUCCAUUAACUGAGUUAAGAAAAAGAAAAAUCAUGGGUGUGGGGCCGUGAACAUAACGCGAAUUUCGAACAACUGAAAAACAGUUUAUGUUCCAAACCUAUGCUAGCUCUGUAUAAUCUUAUGCUUCUUACAGAAAUACAAACCGAUGCGUGUAACUUAGGAAUUUCUGGACUAUUACAAAAACAAACUGACAACUCACUACGGCCUGUUAUGUAUUUUAGCCGGGUUACUAGGAAGGAAGAGAGUGUGUAUCAUAGUUAAGAGCUCAAAACCUGGCGGUCGUACAAUCGCUUCGUAGGUUCCGUGUUUAUGAAGUAGGUAAACAUGAUAUAAUAGAAACUGAUUGUACUGUGGUUUGUGCUACGCUUACCAAACGCGACAUUAUACCACGCAUUGCGCGAUGGUGAGUUUUGAAAGAAGAUUUAGUGUUGAGUAUAGACCUGGUGAACGUAUGGAACAUUUGUAGACGCGCAUAAUAGGCAUCCUGUUGACAUGAUGAACGUGAAUCUUCUUAAAGUUACUGAUUCUGUACUGUGCAAUGUCAGGACGAAAAGCUUAGUUCGAUUAUAAAGCAAUCUAUACUAACAUUAUAAAGCUGAAGAGUUUGUUUGUUUGAACGCGCUAAUCUCAAGAACUGCUGGUCCGAUUUGAAAAAUUCUUUCAGUGUUAAAUAACCCAUUUAUUGAGAAAGGUUAUAGGCUAUAUAACGCUAAGACCGCUUAGACCAUCACUGUGUCACGCUAAGACCAAUACAAGCGAAGUACCAGUAAAGAAACACUGGUUAUUUUCCCUUUUGAGAGCUUCCGGUGCGUGCGCUGCAGAAACUUUUAAGGUUUCGCUAAAAUAAUGUGACAGAAUUGUUCUCCUUUAAAAGAUCUAAAAAAAAAAUGUCCGUGAUAGCAUAUGUCUAUAUGUUAAGGUUGGCUCACUAUAACGUUUUUUUAUGCUAACCAAAUUUGUUCUAAAAUAAAGCAUUAUUUGUGAACUAUAUUCCACGCGGACGAAGUCGCGCUGAUGUUAAAGAUAAUUAUGAACUAGUUCGAAAAUUUUUUAAGGGAAAUAGACUCGCAGUCCCUUUGGCUAAAUGGAAAAUUGUACGAAUGCACUAUGACGACAUUUGUCACGUGGAUCUAAAUCAUCGUUUAGCUUUGAUUAAAAGCCAAUAUUGGUUCUUAAAAUGACACGCUUUAUUAGGAAAUACGUGGCAGCAUGUCUUUAUUGUACACAUGAGAAGGAUAACUAUGUUAAAAAAAAGAAGACUGUCUAUAUCCGAUCUCUAAACCAUCUGAUACUAUGCGCAUGGUACAAAUAUAUAACAUGAUGCCCUUCUGUAGGACAUCUAAAGGGCACCAACCAGUACAUGAUCGUAAUGAAAGAUGCGUUGUCUAAAUUUGUGAUAGCUGAACUAACGCGUACUGUAAAUUCAAUCGGGACCAUUCGUGCAUUGAAAAAUAUAUUAAUAGGGUUUGUCCAGAUACCCGAAUCACGUGGUGACAGACUACGGGAAAGCUUUUACGAGUAGGUACUUUAAAAAAAUAUACCAGAAGAUAAACAGUUUAGGCAUACGUUAAACGGUAUUGCUUGUCCGCGCGCUAAUUGGCCAGGUUGAACAAACUAAACAUACAAUUUUAUGUGUUGCGGGCAACUGAUCCUAGUGAAGCUACAAAUAAUUUAGUGAACUCCGUCAAUUGAGGCACAAACAACACAAUUAAAAGUAACAGCGGCUACAAGCCUUGUGAUUUAAUCUUUGCGCGCUCUGGUAGGUCAAUAUGUGAUGUUUCGAUUCCUGGUCUCGAACCAGAAACUGUGGACGCACGGCGUAAGAUAGCUGCAGCUAGGGUAAAACAAGCGAGUACAAUAAUAACACACAACAUUAAUAUAAAAAAAAAGCUCAUGUUUAUAAGAAAAGGCAUUUUGUAUCGUAGAGACAGGCGCCAACUGGUUAGUAGCGCCGCUAGGAUUAAUACCAAAUUAGACGAUUUAUACUCAGGUCCGUAUGUAGUAACUAAAGUAGUAGGUAACAAUUGUUAUCGAAUUAGAAGUAUAUCUAAAAGGUUUACGAAGUUAUAAAAACUUCACUGGCCUGGUAUCAACAGAUUCAUUAAAGCCCUAUAAAAGUAUAGCCCAUGUGUCCGAUAGCGCUAGUAGUUCCGAUGAGCAGCUCAAAACUGAAGACCUUAUUGAUUUAUUUGAGAACUAAAUGUUUUUGUGUGUUCCCCAUUGCGGGAGCAAUUGUUGCAGGAUGGCCGAAUGUAACGGACGUGACGUCAGCUGUCAUGCCCUGCCGCCAGCCAAGCCGCCAAGCCAUAUUAACACGCCCCCUUCCGCCACAGCCACCGCCACCGCCACCGCCGCCAGCCAAAGCCAACGAAGGGGGGAUAGUGUUAAUAAAACAAGCCGUGCCAGCCAUUUCUACUACUUUUCUGCAUUCUUGCACAAAUAAAAGAACUUGUCGUUA